RNAcentral lists this transfer RNA (72 nucleotides) under Planktothricoides sp. SpSt-374. RNAcentral's name for it is "tRNA-Val". It matches the Rfam family "tRNA". Rfam says of the family: Transfer RNA (tRNA) molecules are approximately 80 nucleotides in length. Their secondary structure includes four short double-helical elements and three loops (D, anti-codon, and T loops). The record is from RNAcentral. Lineage: Bacteria; Bacillati; Cyanobacteriota; Cyanophyceae; Oscillatoriales; Oscillatoriaceae. RNAcentral also lists the same sequence under 1 other name.
GGGCGAUUAGCUCAGCGGUAGAGCGCCUGCCUUACAAGCAGGAUGUCACUGGUUCAAGCCCAGUAUCGCCCA